Molecule: ribosomal RNA, 467 nt
Filed under: uncultured bacterium
Lineage: Bacteria
Description: partial 16S ribosomal RNA
Rfam family: Bacterial small subunit ribosomal RNA
Source: RNAcentral
GAUGAACGCUGGCGGCGUGCUUAACACAUGCAAGUCGAACGGAAAGGCCCAACCUUGCUUGGGUACUCGAGUGGCGAACGGGUGAGUAACACGUGGGUGAUCUGCCCUGCACUUCGGGAUAACUCUGGGAAACUGGGGCUAAUACCGGAUAGGACGAUGUUUUGGAUGCCAUUGUUUAAAGUUUUUUCGGUGUGGGGUGAGCUCGCGGGCUUUCAGCUUGUUUGUGGGGUAAUGGGCUUCCCAGGCGUCGUCGGGUAUGCGGGCUGGGAGGGUGUACGGCCAAAUUGGGAAUGGGGUAAGGCCCAGAAUCCUAAGGGGGGGAAGAGUGGGGAAUAUUGCAAAAUGGGCGCAAGGCUGAUGCAGCGAAGCCGCGGGGGGGAUGACGGCCUUCGGGUUGUAAACGCCUUUCGCUAGGGACGAAGCGUUUUGUGACGGUACCUGGAGAAGAAGCACCGGCUAACUACGUG